UGAAGCUGCCAGCAUGGUCAAUCAGAUGCUGUCUGUGGCCAAGGUCCACAUCGCCCACUGCUGGAGCUCACUGCCUUUGAG
RNAcentral lists this microRNA precursor (81 nucleotides) under Erinaceus europaeus (western European hedgehog). RNAcentral's name for it is "miRNA (ENSEEUG00000022274.1)". Lineage: Eukaryota; Metazoa; Chordata; Mammalia; Eulipotyphla; Erinaceidae. The record is from RNAcentral.